CACUAUCAUUAACUGAAUCCAUAGGUUAAUGAGGCGAACCGGGGGAACUGAAACAUCUAAGUACCCCGAGGAAAAGAAAUCAACCGAGAUUCCCCCAGUAGCGGCGAGCGAACGGGGAGGAGCCCAGAGCCUGAAUCAGUGUGUGUGUUAGUGGAAGCGUCUGGAAAGGCGCGCGAUACAGGGUGACAGCCCCGUACACAAAAAUGCACAUAUUGUGAGCUCGAUGAGUAGGGCGGGACACGUGGUAUCCUGUCUGAAUAUGGGGGGACCAUCCUCCAAGGCUAAAUACUCCUGACUGACCGAUAGUGAACCAGUACCGUGAGGGAAAGGCGAAAAGAACCCCGGCGAGGGGAGUGAAAAAGAACCUGAAACCGUGUACGUACAAGCAGUGGGAGCCUCUUAAUGGGGUGACUGCGUACCUUUUGUAUAAUGGGUCAGCGACUUAUAUUCUGUAGCAAGGUUAACCGAAUAGGGGAGCCGAAGGGAAACCGAGUCUUAACUGGGCGUUAAGUUGCAGGGUAUAGACCCGAAACCCGGUGAUCUAGCCAUGGGCAGGUUGAAGGUUGGGUAACACUAACUGGAGGACCGAACCGACUAAUGUUGAAAAAUUAGCGGAUGACUUGUGGCUGGGGGUGAAAGGCCAAUCAAACCGGGAGAUAGCUGGUUCUCCCCGAAAGCUAUUUAGGUAGCGCCUCGUGAAUUCAUCUCCGGGGGUAGAGCACUGUUUCGGCAAGGGGGUCAUCCCGACUUACCAACCCGAUGCAAACUGCGAAUACCGGAGAAUGUUAUCACGGGAGACACACGGCGGGUGCUAACGUCCGUCGUGAAGAGGGAAACAACCCAGACCGCCAGCUAAGGUCCCAAAGUCAUGGUUAAGUGGGAAACGAUGUGGGAAGGCCCAGACAGCCAGGAUGUUGGCUUAGAAGCAGCCAUCAUUUAAAGAAAGCGUAAUAGCUCACUGGUCGAGUCGGCCUGCGCGGAAGAUGUAACGGGGCUAAACCAUGCACCGAAGCUGCGGCAGCGACACUAUGUGUUGUUGGGUAGGGGAGCG
This 1051-nucleotide ribosomal RNA is filed under the name Escherichia coli. Its description in RNAcentral is "partial 23S ribosomal RNA". It matches the Rfam family "Bacterial large subunit ribosomal RNA", at positions 146 to 1238 of the family's 2925-position model. The record is from RNAcentral. RNAcentral also lists the same sequence under 1 other name. Lineage: Bacteria; Pseudomonadati; Pseudomonadota; Gammaproteobacteria; Enterobacterales; Enterobacteriaceae.